UCCUUAUUUCUGUUUUGCUUUCUUCCUUUGCUCUGUUUUUGGUUGAGGAAAACGAAAAGAAACAGAGAGAGAGAGAGAGAGAGAGAGGAACAUAGUAGAAGGGAAGAGGUGAGAACUCGAUCGAGAGUUUGGACUGGAUUACGGUAGAGGAGGAAGGAACAAAACCGAGAGGACGACAGGGGAGCGAGAGUUUCGGGGUGACAACAACGAAGAACCAAAGGGAUGACGGGCUAUGCCGAGAGUAUAGGGGUUGGGAAAUUUGAACUUAUUCCAAGGGUAGAGUUUAGAUUGCAAUUGGGUAAUUAACGAGCUUGCUAGGAGCCGAGGAGAAUGAGACUAUACACCCGGAAGGCUCUACUCGUUGAGUUAUCAUUUUAGGGGUUUUUGAUACAAAAAGGGACGUCUAGACUUCUACUACCGGAGGAUAACGGGCAACCCCCGCUUAUGAAAAAUCAAAUGAAGAUUUUUUAGAUGAGCUAGGAGCUAGACUAGCAGUACGGGAAAAUCGUUUUGGACAUCGGGGAUCAACGUGAAGAAUAUUGUAGCUAGACCCACUCGUAACAUAUGUAGUAAGUUCAUGUAGUGUGUUAUAAAUAUGUUAUAACCUGAAACUUUUAUUUAGUAGGUUUAUUGAGGAUGGUGAAAAGAGUACUAUCUUGAUAUGUAUAUAGAUAAUAGAGUUUAUUGGAUUUGUUACAUA
Punica granatum (pomegranate) is the source of this 700-nucleotide non-coding RNA. The record is from RefSeq and is a predicted model, not a curated record. Lineage: Eukaryota; Viridiplantae; Streptophyta; Magnoliopsida; Myrtales; Lythraceae.